GAUGAAGAACGUAGCGAAAUGCGAUAAGUAAUGUGAAUUGCAGAAUUCAGUGAAUCAUCGAAUCUUUAAACGCACAUUGCGCCCCUUGGUAUUCCGAGGGGCAUGCCUGUUCGAGCGUCAUUACACCACUCAAGCUAUGCUUGGUAUUGGGCGUCGUCCUUAGUUGGGCGCGCCUUAAAGACCUCGGCGAGGCCACUCCGGCUUUAGGCGUAGUAGAAUUUAUUCGAACGUCUGUCAAAGGAGAGGAACUCUGCCGACUGAAACCUUUAUUUUUCUAGGUUGACCUCGGAUCAGGUAGGGAUACCCGCUGAACUUAAGCAUAUCAAUAAGCGGAGGA
Molecule: unclassified non-coding RNA, 337 nt
Filed under: soil metagenome
Description: partial contains 5.8S ribosomal RNA, internal transcribed spacer 2, and large subunit ribosomal RNA
Rfam family: 5.8S ribosomal RNA (bases 1-120)
Source: RNAcentral